Molecule: long non-coding RNA, 659 nt
Organism: Boleophthalmus pectinirostris (great blue-spotted mudskipper)
Lineage: Eukaryota; Metazoa; Chordata; Actinopteri; Gobiiformes; Gobiidae
Exons: 3
Source: RefSeq, a predicted model, not a curated record
UUCCGGUAAUGCCAUUCUCAAAGAGCGAGGCCAGACUUAUGAAGCAAUUCUUCUUCUCCAGUUGCAGUGGCUGGUCCCUGUUAAUAUGGUCUUCAUUAUUGGAGUUAUCGUACUGAUUGUCUACAAAAGGAAGAAAGCUUCAAUGAAUGAAACAACAAACUCCCGACCAACCAACCCUGAGAACGUGAUAUGCAGCAACACUUCUGUGUAUGAAGACAACACCUACCAGAGCCUUGAGAUGGGCACCAUGGAACCGGAGUACAACCAGCUAUAACUCUUUUACAUAAAACAUAAAUCAAACAAAUAAAUCCAACAAAAUACCAUUUAACUUCAAAAUAAAUGUUCUUAUUUCAACCAACUGUAAAUAAAGAUGUGCUAAAUAGAUUUAGACACUUUGGAGCGUAGAAACUGGGCAUUGACAUGGUAAUGGAAGGCUAUUGGUUCUGUCUAUAUCCAUGGUUUUCAGAAUUAUGAAAAAUUAGGAUGUUGCCGUGGCAAUUAACCAUUUAAAACUCUUAAAACUCUUUUUUGAGCAGGAAAAAGCCCUCAAAAUGUUGAAAAAUGUUGUAACAGGAACCUGAAAGUGAAUAGUAGAGAUCAGAUGUAAUAGAUAACCUUAUGUCAUGCCAGUCACUAUUUCAUAUUUGUACUUGUUUGUC